GAAAAGUACCCGACGCGAAGCCAGAAGUUACCGUCGAGGCCAAAAACGCGCGAGGAGUGCGCGCAGAAGUGUGUCAAGGAGACGGAGAUGCCAUGUCGUUCCUUUGAGUUCUGUAACAACAAAGGCCAGCUGGUGUGCAACAUGCACAAGUCACACCUCAUGGACAUGAAUAACUCUGGCAACCUCUCCGACCAUGGGACCUGCGACUUCUAUACACGAAGCUACAUCUCUGACUUCCAACUGUACGCGAAUUCGACCUUCAGCGAGCCGCAGCCGCAGCAGAUCGAGAUAGACAAAUCUUCGCUG
Long non-coding RNA from Priapulus caudatus, 306 nucleotides. RefSeq lists it as uncharacterized. The transcript has 3 exons. The record is from RefSeq and is a predicted model, not a curated record. Lineage: Eukaryota; Metazoa; Priapulida; Priapulimorpha; Priapulimorphida; Priapulidae.